Molecule: long non-coding RNA, 1839 nt
Organism: Pezoporus flaviventris
Lineage: Eukaryota; Metazoa; Chordata; Aves; Psittaciformes; Psittacidae
Exons: 2
Source: RefSeq, a predicted model, not a curated record
GGGACGACACACGGCCGCAGCCCCCGGUCCCCCGCUGCAGCCGCCGGGACGGCCCCUGGGAGGAGCCGGGGCCGCGGAGCGAUUCAACCGGGCCGCCGCCGCGAGACAUCACUGUCACUACAGGGAGCCUGCCAGCGCUGCUGAGUAUGCGGGAUGUCUUACAUGGCUGAAUUCAAACUCCAGCCAGUCACCUCUGCUGGCUUUUGAAUCCCUGUAACACAAACCCUUGGAAGACAGCAUGCGAAAGAGGAUUAAUUGCAUGGCUCCUUACACUCAUGGUGGCUGUCUCUUAAAACUAAGUGCUUUGGGAAAGGCACGCAGCUAUCACCCACAGUAAAAUGGUUUGUGUGGUUCGUAUGUCAGAAAGCAGAGAGCUCGAACAAAUUUUACAGUGCUGGGCUCUGUUCUGGCAAAAUUGACCAAGAACAACCUUGAUGAAGGGCCUGGUGCUAAGGAGUUGCGAGUUGUCUCCCAUGAGGAAGCCUUGUUGGCACUUCAGAACAGUCACAUCCUCUGCAAGGGAGUGCAGAAUGUGCAGGGGAGAGAGAAUUCCUAAGAGAAGCCCAGUCUCCCUAAGGCAAUGAUGAAGGAAAGACCAAAAGCAAUGAAGAAACUGUGGUAAUGCAACUCAUGCUGGUAUGUUCACUAUUUUGCAUAUGUCAGUCUUGUAGAAGGUAAAAAGCAGUUUUAACUUUCUGUUUCAGUUAACCAGCUGCCCUGAAGAAACCUUCCGCAGAUCCCCAAAGUGCCCAGAGUAUUGAAAGUGUGCACAGUCAACUGCUGGUUAGCGGAACUACAACUGACCCAUUUCGAUGAAGGGGACCAGAGGAGAGUGUGCCAGAGAAACUCAAGGUGACAGCCAGUGCCCUAGCUUAUUCAGACCAAAGAAGUGCAGGAACAAAUAGUUCCAGCACGGUUAUCCUCACAAAGGGAAGUGGGGAGCAGUGGAGAGGGUGCGUGGUGAGAAGGAAAGACAUUUGAGUUUUCCCUUUUGUCACCUCAACUCACUAACACCUUAUGUAACUUUUCUUUUUUUUUUUUUUUUUUUUAACUGGGACACUGAAAAAGUUUCCUCACUGUAGAACUGUUGGAAUAAAAAUAGUUGUGACCAUUUUGGAAUAUUUUUGUUUUUAGCUGAAGAAAUUUGUAUACAAAAAAGUCUAGGAGAGCAAGUUAAAGCCUUUUUAACAUAGAGCGUCCUGUAAGCUGGCUGGGCUUAAACCACAACACAGAGUCAGGCAAUUUCUUUUUCCUGAUGUAAUAAAAGGUGCGACUAAACCCCUGUGAUACCACAAUUGACUCCUGCAGGCUGAAGUUAUUACUAAGAAUAUAUAUUCAGCUUGAGCUUGUGCUGAGAGUCUGAUCUGGGAGACCAUCGCAGGGUGAAACUGCACAAGUUUGUUGCUAACCUGAAGACACAAACAGAAGGAGCCUGGAGGACUCAAACACAGCAGCAUCUGACCUCACUUCACUGAGAUUAGUGUCUGUGUCCUUUACCUCCUGUUUGCAAUGGGCAAGGCGUGCGUGUGUUGGCAGCUGACAUGCCUCAGCUGGCAGGUGGUCACUCAUCAAGGAGCAGUAACUCCUCUGCAUGUCAGUCUAACUCCAGCUUAAUUUUUUUCCUUGAAAGCUUUUUUCCUCCCUACCAUUUGCACAGCAGGCUCCUGGAAAUGAUCUGAACUGCAUGCACGGAACAGGGAGAGAGUCAGGCUUUAGCUUGGUGAACUCCUGAACCAUCUGGGAGAGGGGCUGCCUGGCUUUGUGGGUGUCCCUGGCUGCUGACCUUUCCUCCCCAGGUUCCCAAAGGUCUGUCAAUUCUAUGAAAUCUAUCUUGCUACA